RNAcentral lists this ribosomal RNA (253 nucleotides) under uncultured bacterium. Its description in RNAcentral is "partial 16S ribosomal RNA". It matches the Rfam family "Bacterial small subunit ribosomal RNA", at positions 524 to 776 of the family's 1533-position model. The record is from RNAcentral.
UACGUAGGAUGCGAGCGUUGUCCGGAAUUAUUGGGCGUAAAGCGUCCGCAGGUGGCAGUUCAAGUCUGCUGUCAAAGACCGGGGCUUAACUUCGGAAAGGCAGUGGAAACUGAACAGCUAGAGUAUGGUAGGGGCAGAGGGAAUUCCUGGUGUAGCGGUGAAAUGCGUAGAGAUCAGGAAGAACAUCGGUGGCGAAGGCGCUCUGCUGGACCAUAACUGACACUCGGGGACGAAAGCUAGGGGAGCGAAUGGG